Molecule: ribosomal RNA, 468 nt
Filed under: uncultured bacterium
Lineage: Bacteria
Description: partial 16S ribosomal RNA
Rfam family: Bacterial small subunit ribosomal RNA
Source: RNAcentral
GACGAACGCUGGCGGCGUGCUUAACACAUGCAAGUCGAACGGAAAGGCCCUGCUUUUGUGGGGUGCUCGAGUGGCGAACGGGUGAGUAACACGUGAGUAACCUGCCCUUGACUUUGGGAUAACUUCAGGAAACUGGGGCUAAUACCGGAUAGGAGCUCCUGCUGCAUGGUGGGUGUUGGAACGUUUCGGCGGUUGGGGAUGGACUCGCGGCUUAUCAGCUUGUUGGUGGGGUAGUGGCUUACCAAGGCUUUGACGGGUAGCCGGCCUGAGAGGGUGACCGGCCACAUUGGGACUGAGAUACGGCCCAGACUCCUACGGGAGGCAGCAGUGGGGAAUAUUGCACAAUGGGCGGAAGCCUGAUGCAGCAACGCCGCGUGCGGGAUGACGGCCUUCGGGUUGUAAACCGCUUUCGCCUGUGACGAAGCGUGAGUGACGGUAAUGGGUAAAGAAGCACCGGCUAACUACGUG